RNAcentral lists this small RNA (176 nucleotides) under Methylobacterium sp. Leaf99. RNAcentral's name for it is "caulobacter sRNA CC2171". It matches the Rfam family "caulobacter sRNA CC2171". Lineage: Bacteria; Pseudomonadati; Pseudomonadota; Alphaproteobacteria; Hyphomicrobiales; Methylobacteriaceae. The record is from Rfam by way of RNAcentral.
CAACGAACGAAAGGAGGUGAUCCAGUGUCUCAUUGUCAUCAGCCGCUCUCCCCGGCCACCCUGACCUGGACCGUCGCCUCCGGCGCUACCGUUUAAGCGCUCGGCGGGAAGAUCAAGGGAACGGCCGGACCCCAGCGGUUCGGCAAUGGAAGGCCCGCCCCUCGAGGGGCGGGCCU